UUAACUCGCAGCCAUAAGUUUUCGUGUCUAAUUUUUAUCAUCCGUUUUAUUUAAAUUUUUUAUAAUUAAUAUUUUUAUUGUUAUUAGAUGAUUAAACAUGAAUAUUACUUUACGUGUGACUUUAUUUUUUAUAAAAAAAUUAAAUAAGACGAACAAUUAAAUUUGGAUACGGAAACUAAUAGUUGCACUUAAA
Molecule: non-coding RNA, 193 nt
Organism: Oryza glumipatula
Lineage: Eukaryota; Viridiplantae; Streptophyta; Magnoliopsida; Poales; Poaceae
Source: Rfam